Molecule: long non-coding RNA, 771 nt
Organism: Equus quagga
Lineage: Eukaryota; Metazoa; Chordata; Mammalia; Perissodactyla; Equidae
Exons: 4
Source: RefSeq, a predicted model, not a curated record
AGAGUGAAGGAGAGGGAGCCGGGGACACACGCGGAGCCCGUAGAGGGCGCACUGCGCGCUGCGCCUGGGGUUGUUUUCUCAGGCUCUCGCGCUUUUCCGAGCGAUACAGCAGGUGUCAUUUGGUUGCCUAAAUGGAGACUGGAUUUGAGGGGAGCAAGAUUAGAGGCAGAUUAUUGUAUUAAUGCAGAGACACAACGAUUCAGCAUGUAUCUGCUCGAACAGAGUUGUACGUAGAACAGCCCUCAGGCCUUCCACCCUGGAAUGACAGCUGUGCGAGGCAACUGCAGUUUCCUGUUGCAAUGGAGUCUCCGUGUUGCUGUGCUGAAGGUGGAAAAAUCUUUGGGUGGUGCCACGUUCCCUGUGGAUGCUCCAACAACACGUGCUGGCUGACCGACUGAUUGACUAACUUCGUUAAUACUCUCAUUGAUUCAUGUAUAGAUGCAAGUAUAGUUAUACAAUAAGAGAGUGAGUAAACUAUAUACAAGCAACAUUUUUUUCAUGAGUGGAACCACAGGCACCACGUGAAAAAUGAUGGCCAAUUCGGCUUCAUAAUUCUACUUGUUGGGAAGAGCGGGGCUGGCAUUCCAAGACCAACAGGGCUCUCUUCAGCAGAGCUGGUGCCACACCCUCCAGAAACAUGUUCCUGGCAAUGACAAACCUUAGGAAGGGGUACUUGCUUGUUUUGUUUACAUCAGAGACAAGAAGAUUUAGUACUCCACCUCUAUGCGUUCUGUUUACCUAACGAUUAGACUCUCAGAAUUUUAUUUUGAG